CCCUUAGAGUUUGAUCCUGGCUCAGGACGAACGCUGGCGGCGUGCUUAACACAUGCAAGUCGAGCGGAAAGGCCCUUUCGGGGGUACUCGAGCGGCGAACGGGUGAGUAACACGUGAGUAAUCUGCCCUUGGCUUCGGGAUAGCCACCGGAAACGGUGAUUAAUACCGGAUACGACACAUCACUGCAUGGUGCGUGUGUGGAAAGUUUUUUCGGCCAGGGAUGUGCUCGCGGCCUAUCAGCUUGUUGGUGGGGUAAUGGCCUACCAAGGCUUCGACGGGUAGCCGGCCUGAGAGGGUGACCGGCCACACUGGGACUGAGACACGGCCCAGACUCCUACGGGAGGCAGCAGUGGGGAAUAUUGGACAAUGGGCGGAAGCCUGAUCCAGCAACGCCGCGUGAGGGAUGACGGCCUUCGGGUUGUAAACCUCUUUCAGCACAGACGAAGCGCAAGUGACGGUAUGUGCAGAAGAAGGACCGGCCAACUACGUGCCAGCAGCCGCGGUAAUACGUAGGGUCCGAGCGUUGUCCGGAAUUAUUGGGCGUAAAGGGCUCGUAGGCGGUUUGUCGCGUCGGGAGUGAAAACACCGGGCUUAACUCGGUGCUUGCUUUCGAUACGGGCAGACUAGAGGUAUUCAGGGGAGAACGGAAUUCCUGGUGUAGCGGUGAAAUGCGCAGAUAUCAGGAGGAACACCGGUGGCGAAGGCGGUUCUCUGGGAAUAUCCUGACGCUGAGGAGCGAAAGUGUGGGGGAGCGAACAG
Molecule: ribosomal RNA, 759 nt
Filed under: uncultured bacterium
Lineage: Bacteria
Description: bacterial SSU rRNA
Rfam family: Bacterial small subunit ribosomal RNA
Source: RNAcentral